RNAcentral lists this ribosomal RNA (311 nucleotides) under uncultured Chloroflexota bacterium. RNAcentral describes it as "bacterial SSU rRNA". It matches the Rfam family "Bacterial small subunit ribosomal RNA", at positions 1053 to 1382 of the family's 1533-position model. The record is from RNAcentral. Lineage: Bacteria; Bacillati; Chloroflexota.
CGUCAGCUCGUGCCGUGAGGUGUUAGGUUAAGUCCUGCAACGAGCGCAACCCUCGUCGCUAGUUAAUUUCACUAGCGAUACUGCCGUAAACGAGGAGGAAGGUGGGGAGUGACGUCAAGUCAGCAUGGCCCUUACGCCUUGGGCUACACACACGCUACAAUGGGUGAUACAACGGGAUGCCAAAGAGCAAUCUGGAGCUAAUCCCUAAAAAUCAUCCUCAGUUCGGAUUGUAGGCUGAAACUGCCUGCAUGAAGUUGGAGUUGCUAGUAACCGCAGGUCAGCACACUGCGGUGAAUACGUUCUCGGGCCUU